RNAcentral lists this unclassified non-coding RNA (300 nucleotides) under uncultured fungus. Its description in RNAcentral is "sequence contains 5.8S rRNA gene, ITS2". The stretch from base 1 to 69 matches the Rfam family "5.8S ribosomal RNA", at positions 84 to 154 of the family's 154-position model. The record is from RNAcentral. Lineage: Eukaryota; Fungi.
GUGAGUCAUCGAAUCUUUGAACGCAAAUGGCACUGUCGGGUAACCGGCAGUACGUUUCUUUCAGCGUCGUUUCAACAACACUCAGGCUGCGCCUUUUUAAGGCAAAAGCUUGGACAUUGAGUGUCACAAUUCGAAAGGACUGUGUCACUUUAAAACUAGCGGAAAGACAUGUGCUUUAGCACACUGCACCAAUUACUUGGCAGUGACGUGGAUAAUUUCACUUAUGUGAAUCUUUACGUGACUGUUUUCAAAGAACAGUGUAUGUGCGGCUUGGCGCAACAGUUCGUUCCGAUAUUGAGG